GAAAACCAAAGAGACACGUGUCUAGUAGCGAAAAUUCUUAGUUAAUCCAUCCUAAAAAUAUAACUUAACGCGUGAGCUAGAUAACCUAUGUAGCUCGGCGAAGCUUAGCUUGGCCGAAUGAUAAACUCGGGUUACGAAGAGUCUAAAAGCAUUCGUCGUGUUUCAAUGGAUCGAGUUGAAAGAAAAUAAAAUAAAAAGAAGAAAAAAAAGACAUAAAAAAGACGAAGAAAACAAAAGGAGAAGAAAAAGAGGAGAAAGGAAAAGAAGAAGAAGAAGAGGAGAAGGAGGAGGAGGAAGAGAAAGAGGAAGAAGUUUCUCCAAGUAACUUGUCUAUUUCCUGAUAGUAACCUCUCCCACGCGGCAUCAAAUGGAAUUCAAUCAAACUUACGAAGCUUUCGAGAACGUACCUACGGGGUUUUCUCGUUUGUCUGUUCAAGAUGCUUCUGGAUUAUAGCAGAGCAAACAAGAGAAUGAACGAUGAAGAAGUACGAGUAGGAGUAAGAAUAGGAGGAGGAGGAGGAGGAGGAGGAGGAGGACUAAAAAGGAACGAUAACAACGACGCAAAGGAUCGGCCACGUUUUCUCUCGUACUUAUGUAUGUGUACUUUGAGAAAGGAGUUUGCGAGUAUUUUUUUAUCAGGAAGAAGGAGUGCUCGAUGAUGAAUAAAAAAAAAAUAAGAAAGAAAAAAACGAAGAAACGGAAGAAGACGAAGAAGACGAAGGAAGGAAGGAAAGAAGGAAGGAAGGAAGGAAGGAAGAAGGAAGGAAUGGGAAAGGGAAGAGAAGGGAAGGGUCUCGUCGUGAGGAAAAUCAAUGUGGUCAGAGAUAGAGAAGUUUGUGAGAGUAAGGAAGAAGGAAGAUAGAGGAUUCGAAGACGAGGAUCCUUUAUGUCGGGUCACGUCUUUAAUAUACUUCGCGUGGGAGGUGUCGUCCGGUACAAAAGCACUUACGCGGCACGUACACGAGCAUUAACGAAAACGACGUCGGAGAAUCAGAACGACGACAAAGAGGGAAAAGACGAGAAGAAGAAGGAGGAAAAGGAGGAGAAGGAGGAGGAAGAAGAGGAGGAAGAAGAGGAAGAGGUGGUGGAGGAAGAGGAGAAAGAGGAGGAGGAUGAGGAGGAGAAGGAGGAGGAGUUAAGACGGCGGCAGUCCUCUUAAUGCAUCGCGCAUUUGCGUUUCUUAUUUCGUCCGGUCUCUGAGUGUGAGACAAAGAUAUACAGACAGAGAGAGAGAGAGAGAGAGAGAGAUAGAAUAAACGCUUACUUGACUGCAUUCAAAGAAUGCGUUCUUCUUCUUGGCCAGUUUCGAGAGUAGAAAAUUUUAUUUCGAAAUUAACGAGUAUUUUCUUUGUUUCGAAUAAUCAACAAAUCUAACGAUAGGUUUUACAUAUUUCUCUUUUUUUUUUUUCUUCUUUUUUUUUUUUUGUUCUUCGUAAUGUUUAUAGACGAGAUAAUGUAUACAGACGAACGGAGAAUGAGAUAAGGUUUUCUAAUUUAAAAUUUCUACGGAAGAAUAUUGUAAAAAUGUUCUUCCCUCUUCGUUACUUUGUAAUUGUAAUCGGUAUUAAAUAAUUGUAAGAGUUUAUAUUUUUUAUGAUUAUUCAUAGAAUAGGUAAUUAAUUCUCUUUUUUUGCUAUUAGGAUUAAUAUGGAUGGAUGGAUGGAUAGAUAGAUAAAUAAACUAAAGUAGGAUAAGAUGAUAUCGUCGAAUAGAAAAUUGUUAUUUUUAAAUAAUUAUAAUAACGAUUAAUUGUUAAUUUUCUUCAUAAACACAUUUAAGAGGUUAACAUUUUUAUGAUACUCAUAGAAGUACUAUUUUACCAAGGCAAUAAAAGUGAUUCGAAGAACGACUGUGAACGAUAAAGCGUGUAAUUACGCUCGGCUCGAAGCAUAAGAGCGUUGUAUGUAUGUACUUUUCGAACUACGUCAUCGACUAGCGCGUUACUCAUCGAGCCUAAAGAGGUCUUUCUUAUUUCGUAUAUAUAUAUAUGUGUGUAUAUAUAUACACACACAUACAUAUGUAUAUGAGGUGUGUGAGUAGCCAUAUCUACACGUAAAUACGAUCUCCACGUAUAUUAAGAAUAUUAGAAAAUCAAUCGAAUACAUAUGUAAAUCAGUCGAAUAUAUACGAAUGUAUAUGUAUAUAAGUAUAUGAAAAUGAUCAUUAAUACUAAAACGAUAA
This is a long non-coding RNA of Vespula pensylvanica (western yellowjacket), 2181 nucleotides long. RefSeq lists it as uncharacterized. NCBI's taxonomy places the organism in Eukaryota, Metazoa, Arthropoda, Insecta, Hymenoptera, Vespidae. The record is from RefSeq and is a predicted model, not a curated record. The transcript has 2 exons.